Long non-coding RNA from Callithrix jacchus (white-tufted-ear marmoset), 1035 nucleotides. The record is from Ensembl. NCBI's taxonomy places the organism in Eukaryota, Metazoa, Chordata, Mammalia, Primates, Cebidae.
GAGUAGGGAAACUGGACUUUCCACAAAGUCACAGAACACAGCUCUGAAGGUGCAGAGGUAGGGAAAACACACGCCCUAGAAAGAGCACAGGCAGUGAGUCUAUGCCAGUGUGGGACAAGGACAGAAUAAGACCACAAGAGGCCACGCCAAGCACAUGGGGAGCAGUGCCCCCAGCUCACAGCUCACCCCGGCAACAGACGGAGAUCACCGCCCUCUGAACUUGCAACUCCAGGGAGUAGCGAAGCCCGCAGCCUCUCAGAAGAGGCCUCUACCUCUAACACCUCUCCCUCCCUCCACCAUCGCAACCUUCCCUCUUCCAAGCCAUUCUGCCUCCAACUCCCCCACUGCAAACUGCCAUUAAUUCUCAUCUGCAAAUCUCUGAAAACCUGCAGCCCUGGGGGUGCAACCAGCCCAGGAAAGGGAACACGGACAGCAGCAGCCCAUCAAUAACCGUCAGCAGGGAAGACGGAGCAGCCAGGCGGCAGCUAAUUAGAUGAGGUGGAGUAAUUAAAUUCACAGGCUUUGAUCUGUUCUUCAAAUAUUUCCAAAUGUUCUCUAUCAUUUGGCUUCAGACAUCAUCACACUUCACAAUUAGGAGAUGCCUCCUGGUUGACCUCGGUUUCUCUGCCGCAGAAGGACUCACUCGGCAGCCAGGCCAGCAUCCCCCAGAGGAGGGCGGGUGUGAAGAUUCUCACCUGGGAGUCAAGCGGUUGUAUUAAAGUAAUAGGGGUGCCGGGAAAAUGCAGGAAAUGGCUGAACAAGCUGUUUACCGGUCAUUUUCAGUUUUCAAAAUCGGAUGGGCCGUCACCAGAGGGGACUUGCAGAGAAGCUAAAGCUAAUUCGCAGCCUUGUUUUUGAUUCGUCAUCAAGGCCCAGACUAUGACACUUCCCACCUAGAGAAAGCUGCCUCGGCAGGCUGAGACACGCAGUCAUCAUUCAGAAGGUCUCAUUUCCAUGGCCUUCCUGCCCCUAGAAAACAGCCUGCUCUGUGCAGCAGCCCUAGGGAAUAGACCCGCCAGCCAGCCCUGGUGGUGG